This is a non-coding RNA of Schizosaccharomyces pombe (fission yeast), 775 nucleotides long. NCBI's taxonomy places the organism in Eukaryota, Fungi, Ascomycota, Schizosaccharomycetes, Schizosaccharomycetales, Schizosaccharomycetaceae. The record is from the annotation of a GenBank genome assembly.
CUGUAAAAAAACCGUAUUUGGAACAUAUGCUGUAACUAAUUUGUAAAGCAAAUGUAAUAAUUAAUUAAUUGUAUAAUAAAGAAUGUUUGUGCUUUGAAAUUAAAAUUGAAAUUCUUGGUGCUAUUUUAUAUAGUAUGGAAUAAACAAAGGAUUUUGAAAAUGGAAAAUGAAUGUUUAGAUAAAUCCAUAAUUCAUGAGUAUGCUCGCAAAGAUUGUAAAAGAAUUGAGUGACCUAUUACAGUUGGUCAUUUGAAAGAAAAACGCUAAACACGAUAAAAAGAGAUGAACGGAAAGCAAUGAUGGAAACAGAAACUGCUUUUUUAAAUUCUUCUUGAUUGUACCAUCAGCAUUAAUCCAUAUUAUUUCGAUUAAGCUGUUCUUGAAACAUUGUUGUAUGUAACUAUCAUUAAGUUCAAACAAUUUAAUAGUAAUUUUGUGAAUAUAGCUUCUCCCUCUAUUUAACAAUUGCAGGUAUGAAACAGGAACAAAAACAUAGAAAGAACUCUCAAACAACAGACUCAUCUAAUAAAUGCAAUAAACUUUUUUCUGAAAAUCUUAAAAGAAGCUGCAAAUGUAACAAAAAAUGGUAGGCCCAGCAGAUAGCUGAUGCAUGGGUUUAAGUAUUUCCAUUAUUUAUCGAUGUUGCCAACCAAUUCCCAUUAAUGGACGAAAAAUAGUGUGAAGUCGAUUGUUUAAUAAGGAGAGUUACAAAAUGGAAGCGCAAGACAAACGCAUAUUCGGAGUCACUCUUUCAAGGUAUAAGCAAGCAUUGGAU